UUGGAUGAUCCAUCUAGAUGC
RNAcentral lists this non-coding RNA (21 nucleotides) under Arabidopsis thaliana (thale cress). The record is from RNAcentral. Lineage: Eukaryota; Viridiplantae; Streptophyta; Magnoliopsida; Brassicales; Brassicaceae.